RNAcentral lists this ribosomal RNA (486 nucleotides) under uncultured bacterium. RNAcentral's name for it is "partial 16S ribosomal RNA". It matches the Rfam family "Bacterial small subunit ribosomal RNA", at positions 30 to 507 of the family's 1533-position model. The record is from RNAcentral.
AUUGAACGCUGGCGGCAUGCCUUACACAUGCAAGUCGAACGGCAGCACGGGUGCUUGCACCUGGUGGCGAGUGGCGAACGGGUGAGUGAUACAUCGGAACAUGUCCUGUAGUGGGGGAUAGCCCGGCGAAAGCCGGAUUAAUACCGCAUACGAUCUACGGAUGAAAGCGGGGGACCUUCGGGCCUCGCGCUAUAGGGUUGGCCGAUAGCUGAUUAGCUAGUUGGUGGGGUAAAGGCCUACCAAGGCGACGAUCAGUAGCUGGUCUGAGAGGACGACCAGCCACACUGGGACUGAGACACGGCCCAGACUCCUACGGGAGGCAGCAGUGGGGAAUUUUGGACAAUGGGCGAAAGCCUGAUCCAGCAAUGCCGCGUGUGUGAAGAAGGCCUUCGGGUUGUAAAGCACUUUUGUCCGGAAAGAAAUCCUUGGCUCUAAUACAGUCGGGGGAUGACGGUACCGGAAGAAUAAGCACCGGCUAACUACGUG